CUUGUGUGCGCAUAGGACCUACAGCAUGCCAGACACUACACACUGGCCCAUGGUGAGAUAUAGCCGACAAUGUCCUUCUUUAUUCUAGGUCACCAAUAUUGAUGCUUCAGGUCCUGGUACAUCUUAGCACCCCCGGAGUGGAUAGACAGUUUGGAGGCAUAGACAACCUUGAGAACAUCCGUUCUGAUAGCGAUAGGGACCCAAAUACGGUUCAGAAAUCUGCACAACCCAUCAUCAGUGAGCCUGAAAUCAAGAAACUCAUCAGAAGUAAAUUUACUCAAAUUGAUUUCUUGAUCUAUGGACUGAGCUUUCCAAUCUUCAUAAAAAGAUCUGGUAAAGCUCAGAUUUGAGCGAGAUAGGCACCGUUGCCAUAGUAGUUGAAGUGAAGUGCCUACAUAACAUCAACUAAUUUCCAACUAGAGGCCAUAGUUUGGGUCAACACAGUGGACUCCUUUUGGCUCAGUGUAUCAGCGACCACAUUUUCUCUACCGGAAUGGUAGAUGAUAUUGCAAUCAUAAUCCUUC
RNAcentral lists this long non-coding RNA (524 nucleotides) under Carica papaya (papaya). RNAcentral's name for it is "long non-coding RNA (CPAP_LNC009632)". Lineage: Eukaryota; Viridiplantae; Streptophyta; Magnoliopsida; Brassicales; Caricaceae. The record is from RNAcentral.